RNAcentral lists this ribosomal RNA (47 nucleotides) under Hypotrachyna taylorensis. Its description in RNAcentral is "partial 18S ribosomal RNA". The record is from RNAcentral. Lineage: Eukaryota; Fungi; Ascomycota; Lecanoromycetes; Lecanorales; Parmeliaceae.
GUAAAAGUCGUAACAAGGUGUUCCGUAGGUGAACCUGCGGAAGGAUC